CGACGAGGUUGAUAGACCGGGAGUGCAAGCAUGGCGACAUGUUCAGCGGACCGGCACUAAUAGGUCGAGGACUUGACCGA
RNAcentral lists this ribosomal RNA (80 nucleotides) under Kandleria vitulina. RNAcentral's name for it is "23S rRNA. Bacterial LSU". The record is from RNAcentral. Lineage: Bacteria; Bacillati; Bacillota; Erysipelotrichia; Erysipelotrichales; Coprobacillaceae.